GACGAACGCUGGCGGCGUGCUUAACACAUGCAAGUCGAACGGAAAGGCCCUGCUUUUGUGGGGUGCUCGAGUGGCGAACGGGUGAGUAACACGUGAGUAACCUGCCCUUGACUUUGGGAUAACUUCAGGAAACUGGGGCUAAUACCGGAUAGGAGCUCCUGCUGCAUGGUGGGGGUUGGAAAGUUUCGGCGGUUGGGGAUGGACUCGCGGCUUAUCAGCUUGUUGGUGAGGUAGUGGCUUACCAAGGCUUUGACGGGUAGCCGGCCUGAGAGGGUGACCGGCCACAUUGGGACUGAGAUACGCCGCAGACGCCUACGGGAGGCAGCAGUGGGGAAUAUUGCGCAAUGGGCGGGAGCCUGAUGCAGAAACGCCGCGUGCGGGAUGACGGCCUUCGGGUUGUAAACCGCUUUCGCCUGUGACGAAGCGUGAGUGACGGUAAUGGGUAAAGAAGCACCGGCUAACUACGUG
RNAcentral lists this ribosomal RNA (468 nucleotides) under uncultured bacterium. Its description in RNAcentral is "partial 16S ribosomal RNA". It matches the Rfam family "Bacterial small subunit ribosomal RNA", at positions 28 to 507 of the family's 1533-position model. The record is from RNAcentral.